Molecule: unclassified non-coding RNA, 344 nt
Filed under: uncultured fungus
Lineage: Eukaryota; Fungi
Description: partial contains 5.8S ribosomal RNA and internal transcribed spacer 2
Rfam family: 5.8S ribosomal RNA (bases 1-134)
Source: RNAcentral
UGGCUCUCGCAUCGAUGAAGAACGCAGCGAAAUGCGAUAAGUAAUGUGAAUUGCAGAAUUCAGUGAAUCAUCGAAUCUUUGAACGCACCUUGCGCCCGUUGGCUAUUCCGACGGGCAUGCCUGUUCGAGUGUCUUGAAAUCAUCAACCCUCUCGCUUCUGCGUCUGGGCUUGGAAUUGGGGGCUUUGCUGCCGAGAGGCGGCUCCCCUGGAAUGCAUUGGCUGUUGGCAGAGUCUAACCGCGGCGUUGUAAUCCCUCGCCGAUGCGGGUCUGCUCGACGUGCCCGCCCUGCGGGGCAACCCAACUUUGAAAUCUGACCUCGAAUCAGGUAGGACUACCCGCUGA